AUAUAUUGCAGCAGAUUAUUUAAAUCAGAAGUUAUGAUGGCAAUAAAAUCUGUGGUAGAUGUUAUACAUUUCAUUCAUACAAAUAAAAUUUAUGUACAAAUUAAAAUUAAGUAUAGAUGUGUAGUAUUCAAUAAAAACAAAAACCCCGGAAAUCAUAAAAAUACAAGUAUAGAAUUAGAGUUUAUGUUAUUGGCUGAAUAAUAUUCAUAGCACACAAAAAUAUAUUUUGUUUUUAUAUUAUACUAUAAAGUAAUAUAUACAGGGCCGUACUGGACGAAGGGUUUUAAGGGCACUUGUCCCGAGCAACAGU
Non-coding RNA from Cinara cedri, 310 nucleotides. The record is from the annotation of a GenBank genome assembly. Lineage: Eukaryota; Metazoa; Arthropoda; Insecta; Hemiptera; Aphididae.